UUUGUAUCGUCUCCUCUCAGCCUUCUUCCCCAGCAGUCAAAAACCUUAAAAAAUUGAAAAACAAAGCAAGACCCACGCCACGAAGAGAAGCAAAAAUGGAAGACGAAGAAAACAACCCAACAUGCAGAGACGUCCCGAGUCUCCUCUCCUCCUUUGUCGACAUAUUCGUCGAUUUCUCUGUUAGUGGCGGCCUCUUCUUGCCCCCUCUAGACCCUAAUUUCAGAGGUUCUCCAAAUCACCAAAGUACAACUCCUGAUGGAACCUUCAAUUUGCGAACCCAUUACUCCACUCCUGAUCGUCUAAUUGCAAUCGGCGAUUUACACGGUGAUUUAGAGAAGUCCAAACAAGCUCUAAGGCUGGCGGGUUUGAUUGAUAUGUCUAAUAGGUGGUCUGGUGGGUCUGCCAUGGUGGUUCAGAUAGGUGAUGUGCUUGAUCGAGGUGGUGAGGAGCUGAAAAUCCUCUAUUUUUUGGAGAAAUUAAAGAGAGAAGCAGUGAAAAGUGGAGGCAAUUUGAUUACUAUGAAUGGGAACCAUGAGAUUAUGAAUGUAGAAGGCGAUUUUAGAUAUGUGACAAAGUUAGGGUUAGAGGAGUUCACAAAUUGGGCUUAUUGGUAUUGCGUAGGCAACAAAAUGAAGAGUCUAUGUGUAGGACUGGAAAAGCCGAAGGAUAUCUUUGAUGGGAUUCCUUUAACUUUUCGAGGAGUUAAAGAAGAGUAUUUUCAUGGUAUGAGAGCUAGAAUUGCUGCAUUGAGACCUGAUGGCCCUAUAGCCAAUAAAUUUUUGUCAAAGAAUUUGACUGUGUUGGUUGUUGGGGAUUCAGUUUUUGUUCAUGGAGGAUUAUUAGCAGAACAUGUGGACUAUGGGUUGGAGAGGAUGAAUAAGGAGGUUAGGGAUUGGAUUACUGGGUUAACACAAAAAUCUGCGCCACUUUAUUGCAAAGGGAGGAAUGGUGUUGUUUGGUUGAGGAAGUUCUCUGAUGAGGUGGCUAAGAACUGUGAUUGUUCAGCUCUGGAACAUGUUCUUGCUACAAUUCCUGGGGUGAAGAGGAUGAUUAUGGGCCAUACUAUUCAGGAGGCUGGCAUUAAUGGGGUUUGUGACAAUAGGGCAAUAAGGAUUGAUGUGGGUAUGUCAAAAGGGUGCACAAAUGGGUUGCCUGAAGUUUUGGAGAUCAAUGGGAAUUCGGAGUUGCGGGUGUUGACAUCCAAUCCAUUGUAUCAGAACAAGUACAAGCCUUAUUUGGAUGAUGAUAGGAAGCAGGGCCUUGGGUUGCUUAUACCAGAAAGCAGACCAAAACAGGUGGAAGUGAAGGCUUAAGAGUUUGUUUGUCUGAACUUCAUUAAUGCUUUGCCUUAUGGCAAUUAAAUCAUAGAUGGAUGGGAUGAAUGUUGUUUAGCAGGAUCAGGAAUUGUAAAGCAUUGCUUAGAGUAGAUUGACAAAAGAAGUUUAAUCAAUACAAAGCUUACUCAGAAAAUUUCCUAUUUGACUUACAUUCCUGUUGUUUUUAUUGUUUCUGCAAAAAUCAUCUUCCUCAUGGAAUAGCAAUGAAAAAUUUUGUGCCUUUACCUUGAAAAUAAUGAAUAUGCUUGAUCCAAAGCUA
RNAcentral lists this unclassified non-coding RNA (1596 nucleotides) under Hevea brasiliensis (rubber tree). The record is from RNAcentral. Lineage: Eukaryota; Viridiplantae; Streptophyta; Magnoliopsida; Malpighiales; Euphorbiaceae.